UUGACCUCGGAUCAGGUAGGGAUACCCGCUGAACUUAAGCAUAUCAAUAAGCGGAGGAAU
Molecule: ribosomal RNA, 60 nt
Filed under: Dothideomycetes sp.
Lineage: Eukaryota; Fungi; Ascomycota; Dothideomycetes
Description: partial 28S ribosomal RNA
Rfam family: Eukaryotic large subunit ribosomal RNA
Source: RNAcentral